AACGAACGCUGGCGGCAGGCUUAACACAUGCAAGUCGAACGCUCGUAGCAAUACGGGAGUGGCGGACGGGUGAGUAACGCGUGGGAACGUGCCCUGAGGUACGGAAUAACUGAGGGAAACUUCAGCUAAUACCGUAUGAGCCCCGAGAGGGGGAAAGAUUUAUCGCCUUGGGAGCGGCCCGCGUCGGAUUAGCUAGUUGGUGGGGUAACGGCCUACAAGGCUUCGAUCCGUAGCUGGUCUGAGAGGACGAUCAGCCACACUGGGACUGAGACACGGCCCAGACUCCUACGGGAGGCAGCAGUGGGGAAUCUUGCGCAAUGGGGGCAACCCUGACGCAGCCAUGCCGCGUGAACGAUGAAGGCCUUAGGGU
This 370-nucleotide ribosomal RNA is filed under the name uncultured bacterium. Its description in RNAcentral is "bacterial SSU rRNA". It matches the Rfam family "Bacterial small subunit ribosomal RNA", at positions 29 to 423 of the family's 1533-position model. The record is from RNAcentral.